GCACGUGCUCAGCAUCUCUCUUUUGGGGGGGUGUGUAUUCACGUGCGCCUGCGCCGGCGUGGCUGCGUGCUGGUGGAUUUUGCACCGGCGCGUGGUGAGGGCUCCUGCUUGUCAGUGAGGACGCCGGCGAAAUGACGCAAUACGACCCGUCUUGAAACACGGACCAAGGAGUCUAGCGCGGCUGCGAGUCGAAGGGUGGCAAACCCAAGGGCGCAGUGAAAGCGAAUUUUGUGCAGAACGAAAACAGUUUGGGGCGGCAUAGCGACGUUGUCAACAUGUCCGACCCGGAGCAUGCGCGCUGGGACCCGAAAGAUGGUGAACUAUGCCGGAGUAGGGCAAAGCCAGAGGAAACUCUGGUGGAGGCUCGUAGCGAUGCUGACGUGCAAAUCGCUCGUCAAACUUGGGUAUAGGGGCGAAAGACUAAUCGAACCAUCUAGUAGCUGGUUCCCUCCGAAGUUUCUCUCAGGAUAGCGGGCCGACGAAGUGUUGUUUUGUGCGGUAAAGCGAAUGAUUAGCGCACUCGGGGGCGCAAUGCCUCUGGGCGAUUCUCAAACUUUCAAUGCGCAAGGGCGUCGCUGCUUGGAUGAGCGGCGCCGGUAAAAACGUCGGCCCUGUGGGCCACUUUUGGUAAGCAGAACUGGCGAUACGGGAUGAACCGUAAGCGCGGU
Molecule: ribosomal RNA, 668 nt
Filed under: Ahnfeltia plicata
Lineage: Eukaryota; Rhodophyta; Florideophyceae; Ahnfeltiales; Ahnfeltiaceae
Description: eukaryotic LSU rRNA
Rfam family: Eukaryotic large subunit ribosomal RNA
Source: RNAcentral